CACGUAGGGGGCGAGCGUUGUCCGGAUUUAUUGGGCGUAAAGAGCUCGUAGGCGGUUUCGUAAGUCGGGUGUGAAAACUCUAGGCUCAACCUAGAGACGCCACCCGAUACUGCGAUGACUAGAGUCCGGUAGGGGAGUGUGGAAUUCCUGGUGUAGCGGUGAAAUGCGCAGAUAUCAGGAGGAACACCAACGGCGAAGGCAGCACUCUGGGCCGGAACUGACGCUGAGGAGCGAAAGCGUGGGUAGCGAACAGG
Molecule: ribosomal RNA, 254 nt
Filed under: uncultured bacterium
Lineage: Bacteria
Description: partial 16S ribosomal RNA
Rfam family: Bacterial small subunit ribosomal RNA
Source: RNAcentral